GCACUGCUGAUGAGUCCCAAAUGGGACGAAACAGCUGUUCAGUGC
This 45-nucleotide non-coding RNA is filed under the name Echinostoma caproni. Lineage: Eukaryota; Metazoa; Platyhelminthes; Trematoda; Plagiorchiida; Echinostomatidae. The record is from RNAcentral.